RNAcentral lists this ribosomal RNA (439 nucleotides) under uncultured bacterium. RNAcentral's name for it is "partial 16S ribosomal RNA". It matches the Rfam family "Bacterial small subunit ribosomal RNA", at positions 339 to 795 of the family's 1533-position model. The record is from RNAcentral.
CUACGGGUCGCUCCAGUGAGGAAUAUUGGACAAUGGAGGAAACUCUGAUCCAGCCAUGCCGCGUGAGUGAAGAAGGCCUUAGGGUUGUAAAGCUCUUUCAAUAGUGAAGAUAAUGACGGUAACUAUAGAAGAAGCUCCGGCUAAAUUCGUGCCAGCAGCCGCGGUAAUACGAAUGGAGCAAGCGUUGUUCGGAAUCACUGGGCUUAAAGCGUGCGCAGGCGGAACAGAAAGUCAGAAGUGAAAUCCCAGGGCUCAACCCUGGAACUGCUUUUGAAACUCCUGUUCUAGAAUUCGAUAGAGGUAAGGAGAAUUCCUAGUGUAGAGGUGAAAUUCGCAGAUAUUAGGAGGAAUACCAGUGGCGUAGGCGCCUUACUGGGUCGAUAUUGACGCUCAUGUACGAAAGCGUGGGGAGCAAACAGGAUUAGAUACCCCGGUAGUC